This 73-nucleotide transfer RNA is filed under the name Camelus bactrianus (Bactrian camel). It matches the Rfam family "tRNA". From Rfam's summary of the family: Transfer RNA (tRNA) molecules are approximately 80 nucleotides in length. Their secondary structure includes four short double-helical elements and three loops (D, anti-codon, and T loops). The record is from Rfam by way of RNAcentral. RNAcentral also lists the same sequence under 2 other names. Lineage: Eukaryota; Metazoa; Chordata; Mammalia; Artiodactyla; Camelidae.
GGGUAUAUAGCUCAGUAGUCAGAGCACAUGCUUAGCACUCACAAGGUCAUGGGUUCGAUCCCCGGUACUUCCA